GUAGGUUCUGUAAUUAUCCUCAUUUUACCAAUGAGAAAAACUGAGUCUCAGAGGGCAAUUUGACUGAAGCCACGUGGCUGCAAGUGUAGAGAAAGAAUCUGAACCCAGACAAUCUGGCUUCAGAGCUCAGCUGGCCUCCUUAUCCUGGUUUGGCCCUUUAAAUCCAGUUUGGUUGUGGGAAACUGAGAGACCUCCAGGGCAUUCCUCACAUAGGGUGAGUUGAGUUUGGGCCUCCAAGUAGACUUUGGCCUGGAAGCCAAGAUGUUACUGAGGAAAAUAAACAAUAGCUAUUUCAGGUGACAGGUGCUGGGCUGUGGAAUUGUGCGGGGGGAAAUGUCAAGCUGCAAGGGUUUCCUCAUUGUAAAUUUUUGUAUGUUCAGCAGAACAAGCGUCAUCAGAAAGCUGCUCUGUUGCCAGCGUCGCCCCUGGAGACAGAGGGCAGGAGCAGGAAGUGUCCUUUCUCUGUGACCGCAGGUGAGGAGGCUGUUGCUCACAGAGGACAGGUGACUCAGCCAGAGCCACAGAGUCAGGAUUUCAAUCCAGGGCUGCUGGAUUACAGAGCCCAGUCUCUGAAUCACCAGCCUUUCUGACUCCUGCAGAAGAGGGCUAUGUUUGUGUCCAUGCAUGUGCCUACGUAUCUUUGACUGAGAGAUGUGAAUGACAGUUUCCCUUCCCAGUUCCACAUACUCCAUGACUAGUUUCACUCUCAGAGGAGGAUUUUGUUCUUCAAUUGUGGAGUGAUCUCUAUCACCAGUGACUAAAGAUGUUGGAGCACAGAGAGCCAUACCCCAAAAUAUGAUGCUUCGGCAUGCUGACUGCUUUGAAAAUUGAAAGGCCUCAGAAAUAAUCCUCAGUGCCAGGGUCUCCCUCUGACCUCCCCCUACCUCCCUUUCUCUCUGAUCCUGUCUCUCCCAAAGCACAGAAUGAAGCUGUUCUCUGAAUUCCCUUAUCUACCUAGAAACUGGACCCCCAAAGAGGAACACAAUUUGCCUUUGAUCCCUUCCCUGAAAUUUCAUUAACCAGAGAAAAUUAAAACUUCUAUCACAAAGGAAGAGACUGAACAUUAAACACCAUAGCUACAGCCCAGACAAACUUCUUCCCAAACCAUUGUUUGUUCUCCUGCCUGUUAAAUUGCCAGAGAAUCAUUCACAAGAUAAAGUCUGCCUUCUGGGUCCAUUCAUUCCCCACUAAAAAUCUUUUACUCCUACACCCUCAUGUCUCCUUCCUCCAUGAAGAAGGGUCUAUAAACCUCUAGGCCUCAUUGGGUUAUUGGGUAAUCAUUCUCAUGCAGUUCCCCUGUGCUCUGCAUGUUAAAUAAAUUUGUAUGCCUUUUUCUCCUACCUGCCUUUUGUCAUUUUCAGUGAACCUUCAGAAGGUAAAGGCAGAAGCUUUCCUUCUUUGCCCCUAUAGUGUCAACAACAGCCAGCCAGGCAAAGGGUUUCAGAAACCCAAGUGGGAUUAAGAUGAUUAGCCACAUGGCUCUAUUCUACAAACUAGUGGUCAGAAUAACAAGCGUUUGCUUAUUAGGAGGUCGAGGUGGGAGAA
This 1545-nucleotide long non-coding RNA is filed under the name Homo sapiens (human). Its description in RNAcentral is "HSALNT0094654". The record is from RNAcentral. Lineage: Eukaryota; Metazoa; Chordata; Mammalia; Primates; Hominidae.